GAUGAACGCUGGCGGUAUGCUUAACACAUGCAAGUCGAACGGACUCUUCGGAGUUAGUGGCGGAUGGGUGUGGAACGCGUGAGAAUCUGGACUUGGGUUCGGGACAACUACUGGAAACGGAGGCUAAUACCGGAUGUGCGGAGAGGUCAGAGAGCAAUUGCCUGGAGAUGAGCUCGCGUCUGAUUAGAUAGUUGGUGAGGUAAAGGCUCAACAAGGCAGCGAUAAGUAGCAGAGCUGAGAGGAUGACCAGCCACAAUGGCUCUGAGACACGGCCCAGACGACUAUGGGAGGAUGCAGUGAGGAAUUAUCCGCAAUGGGCGAAUGACUGACGGAGGAAUACCGCGUGUGGGAAGAAGGCUCUUGGGUUGUAAACCUCUUUACUUAGGGAAGAACAAAUUGACGGUACCUAAGGAAUCAGCAUCGGCUAACUCCGUG
RNAcentral lists this ribosomal RNA (435 nucleotides) under uncultured bacterium. RNAcentral describes it as "partial 16S ribosomal RNA". It matches the Rfam family "Bacterial small subunit ribosomal RNA", at positions 28 to 507 of the family's 1533-position model. The record is from RNAcentral.